UAGGAGAGCGGAUCCGCCGAAUUUAAGCAUAUAAUUAAGCGGAAGAAAAGAAAAUAACAAUGAUUCCUUUAGUAACGGCGAGUGAACAAGGAUUAAAGCUCAUCAGUUUAAUCCUAGCAUUAUUUUUGUUAGGAAAUGUCUGGUAUUUUAAACAAUAUUCUUUUUGUUGCCUGUACAAUAUGUUGCGUAGAAGUGAGCAGGAAUGCUUUUCCAUAGAGGGUGAAAGUCCCGUAAAUGCAACUCUUUGUGCGUAAUGAUGCUCUAAAAAGAUAUUGUUGAAAGAGUCGUGCUCUUUGAGAUUGGAGUACAAAUAUUUCGUGUGAUACAUUUCACAUAAAGCUAAAUAUAUGUAAGAGACCGAUAGCAAACAAGUACCGUGAGGGAAAGAUGAAAUAGUACUCAGGAAUGAGAAUUAAAUAGUACCUGAAAUCGUUAAGAUGGAACGAAAUAAGAGAGGAAAAAAGAAAAUAAGAAGCAUUAAAAAUAUAAAAAAUAAAAAAAAAAAUAGGUAAUACUAUUUUUUUUUUUUUUUUUUUAUUUUUUUUUUGAUGUCUUAUUUUUAAAAAGAAACAUCAGCGAACUAAUAUAAUUAACAUAAAAACUGACAUAAAAAAAAAAAGGGCUAUUAUAUAUUAGUUUUUUUUUUUUUUUAUAGGUGUGUUUUCACUAACGAUUAGACAUCCGGUUUUUAUUAACACAACAAAAAAAUAAUUAUAUUCAUUUGCUGAGGAUGUAUUAAAAAAAAAGUAAAACAAAAUUAACAUUUUUUUGUUUUUUUUUUUUGUUACUUUUUUUAAGUUGUUUCUAUAAUAGUACUUUCUUAUCUCACUCGUCUUGAAACACGGACCAAGGAGUCUAACAAAUGUGCAAGCGUAUGUGAUUAACAACUAAACAUAUAUUUUUUUUAUACGCGUAAUUAAUGUAAUUUUUUGCAGAAUUAGAACGUUGCCUUAAAAACAACGAUUUAUGCAUGCAAUACCGGUCCUCCUUAAUCAUUAUGUUAGGACUGCGUAAGAGUAUAUUUGUUAGGACCCGAGAGGCUUUGAACUAAGCGUGAUGAGAUUGAAGUCAGACGAAAGUCUGAUGGAGGAUCGAAUUGAUACUGACGUACAAAUCGUUCAUUUCAAUCACGUUUAGGGGCGAAAGACUAAUCGAAAAGCCUAUUAGCUGGUUAUUUUCGAAAGAUCUCUCAGGAUCGCUGGAGUUUUUAUAUUAGUUUUACCAAGUAGAGAUAAUGAUUAGAGGAAUCAGGAAUAUUGUUAUUCUUGACCUAUUCUCAAACUCCCAAUUGGUAAUAAGAGUAUUUUAUAACUUAUAAAAUUAUUUGUAUAAUACUCAAUUAAAUAUUGAACUCCAAGUGGGCCAUUUUUGGUAAGCAGAACUGGCGAUGAGGGAUGCUCCUAACGCUUUGGAUAAGGUGCCUAAAUUAUUCGCUUAUGAGAUCCCAUGAAAAGGUGUUGGUUCAUUAUGACAGUAGGACGGUGGUCAUGGAAGUCGAAAUCCGCUAAGGAGUGUGUAACAACUCACCUACCGAAUGAACUAGCCCUGAAAAUGGAUGGCGCUACAGCGGAUUACCGAUACCAAGCCAUAAAAAAAAAAUAUAUUAUUUAAUAAUUUUUUAUGAGUAGAAAAUCGUGGAGUUUGUGUUGAAGCGUUUAUAUACGUGAGUUAUCGUGAAACAAUUUCUCUAGUGCAGAUCUUGGUGGAAGUAGCAAUUAUUCAAAUGAGAACUUUGAAGACUGAAGUGGAGAAGGGUUUCUUGUCAACUGUGAUUGUACAAGAGUUAGCCGUUCCUAAGAGAUAACUGAAAAGUGAUACAAAAUGAGGCAUAUAUAUAUAUAUAUAUUCUUUUAUUUUAAUUUUUAUUUCGGUAAAAAUUAAAUUAAUUGUAAUAUAUUAUAAAAAUAUAUUAUAUCCUCAUCUCAAAAGGGAAACAGAUUAAUAUUUCUGUGCCAGUUAUAGUAAAGAGACAUAAAAAAAAAAGAUGGUAACAUAUUAAAAAAAAUGAACUCCUUUACAUAGGUCUUACAUUCGAGGUGCGUUUUCUUUGCACUUUAAUUUUUAUAACAGACCUUGGAAUCAAAUUAUUUGGAGAAAAGGUUUGUAGAAUCGGUUUGUAAAGAUUUUAUAAAUAAGUUUUUAUUUAUUUUUUCUAGCAAACUGUAACAAUAGUAGUUUAUUUAUAUAUUGAACUAUUCGAAUCUGUAAGAACUAUCCUUGAAACAAGGAGGGAACUUUUUAAAAAUUUUUACUAUAUAACAUUUGAGCGUACCGACAACCGCAUCAGGUCUCCAAGGUUAGUAGCCUCUGGUUAAGUAGAAAAAAGUAAGUAAGGGAAGUCGGCAAAAUAGAUCCGUAACUUUGGGAAAAGGAUUGGCUCUGAGGACACUAGAGUUAAGAUGUGUAAUAAGAACAAUUAAAUAUGUAGCAAAAAAAAAUAUAUAAAAAAUAAAAGGCAACUUUUUUUUUUUUAUAUUUAUUUUUGUUGUGUGUUUAAUAUAUUUUUUAUUAUUUUCAUCUACUCACUUAAAAAAAGUGGUUCAGGUAUAUAAAAAAAAAGAACACUUUUUAAUACUUGUAUUAUGGUUUUUUUUUUUUUUUUAUGCCUCACUUUUUUUUUUUUUUAUGUGUCAACUCAGAACUGAAACGGACAAGGGGAAUCCGACUGUUUAAUUAAAACAUAGCAUUGUGAUUAGCUAUGAGAUAGUAUUGACACAAUGUGAUUUCUGCCCAGUGCUUUGAAUGUCAA
RNAcentral lists this ribosomal RNA (2749 nucleotides) under Hepatocystis sp. ex Piliocolobus tephrosceles. Its description in RNAcentral is "28S ribosomal RNA". It matches the Rfam family "Eukaryotic large subunit ribosomal RNA", at positions 13 to 2220 of the family's 3401-position model. The record is from RNAcentral. Lineage: Eukaryota; Apicomplexa; Aconoidasida; Haemosporida; Plasmodiidae.